AUGUUAAUUAAAUUGUAUAACCACGAGGGAAAAACUUUUCUCCUAUUUCACAUAACGCCCCCUCCUUCCUUCCACGGUACGAUUCAUAAUUUUCUUCUACACAAUGUCUUUUUCUUCCAUAUUAAGAUUCACAAACCCUAAUUCUCAACUAAACUCUUGAGCCGCUUCUCUCUGUUUUGAUAUCUAACAUGUCUGCUCUGUUUCAUCCACAUUUUCUAUGUCCUUAUCCUUUUUCAGUUUAGGGUUUCUAUUUACCCCCUUCAUAUUAUUUAAUUGAAGAACAAUUAUUGGGUCUCUAUUGUUCUAAUUCGCUUCUUCUAAUCGAGAUCUAUUUAUCAGAAGUUGCACAAUACUAAUGGGAUUCUAAUCCUCUUUGAUCGAUUUGUGUAUUAAACGAUCAGUAAGAUAGGAUGACUCCUCAAUUGGGUUUUUAUGCUCUCGGUAUUCUUGAUAAAGAGACGCAGAGGUUGAAGACCAUUAAGAUUGAAGGCAAUAUGAUAUCAUCUUUUAUCCCCAUUUCCAUAUUUUAUACAGAAUGCUAAAUGUGAUUUUGAAACGUGUUCAUGUGAUAUGAUUGAAGAUUAAUAUGCUAAUAAUUGAUUGAUUGAUUGAGUUUUUGAUUCUUCUAAUGUUCUGAUUGUUAAUUAUUGCCUGGUCAAUUACUUAUGCUGAUUUCAAUUAUGGCUUCUCCGCUUGGUUGUUUUUAGUUAUUGCCUUGGUUAGCGCUGCCUUGCUGAGUUAACUAGGUUGUUUAAUUGUGUGUUUUUUCAUGGGCCAUAUUUGCACUAAGGUCAGUUCAAUACAUAACCUAGGUACCAAAAUCAGUUUGUUCAUUUGAAAUCCAAUUUCUUUGAGUCUUGAUCUGCAAAUGGGGUGAUUUGUUUUGGUGUCCAGCACAGCCGCAAGCUUGAUCCAGGGCUCGAUAGAUGAUUCUUUUUUCUUCAUUCGAUCAAAAAUAGGAGAUUUUCGAUCUUCCUCCAGGCAAAAAACCAUUAGAUUGGAUCUCAAGGAUGAAAGUUGCAGCAAGAGACGCACAUGCUGUGGAGCAUUUACAUAAAAAGGUAGUGGAGCAUUAAAUACUGGUGUAAUUGAGAGAAAAGGUUGAUCUGGAGGUCGCAAGCUUGAAGGAUUCUUCAACAACGGUGGUAAAGAAAGAAAACAAUGUAGCAACUUCCCAACGACAAUUUCCACCUUAACUGAUACUACACUGGCAGUGACUCCCGCUAUCAGCAGUGAAGACGCCACAUCAGAAGAUGAAAGCCAGUCGCAAACAAGCAAUGGCAGUUUAUGGUGAUGGAAACAAGCACGAAGUUUUCAAUACGUCUUUAACUUGGAGAGUUUACCAUGUUAGAACUUGCUCAGGUAUUUUAUUUAGGUCACAUGUGUUGUUUGGUGUCUUAUCGAUGGCUGAGGUCUUUUGGAGAGAAAUGGGAUUCGGGUCAUUCCUCCGAUAAACUUCUUGGCAGGCGUCGACCUCAAAUACAGUCAAAAUGAUGGUAUUGUAGUUCGCGACAAAGGGCGGUGGCGGCUCUAGGGUUCCGGCUGUUGAACCCGGCAACUACCACAAGCCACGUUUCAUUUCAUCCCACUUAAUAUUUUCUCCUCUGACUUUGCCGCUUUUCUUCUCCACCACCUAGACGAAUGAUUCAUCAACAAAGGUUGUAUUGAGCUAUGGAACAUAUACUUGGAGCUUCUAGAACACUAAGUUAUCUGAUAUAGCUGGGAAUGGAUAAAUCCAUCUUUAGUAAUCCAAAGACAUUUCACUUAACUGUGCUUAUGCUAAAGUGGUGGAACAAGGAGAGUCGACGCCGCUAUUAAGAUAUUCCAGCUCACUUUCAUCGUUGCAAAGCAACACAAAUGUUUAAAAACAAAGCUUAGUGCCGAAGAUGAAGAAACAAAAGUGUCGUAUGAGGGAGCAAAUACAUAUAUUAAGUAUAAAAUAAGGGGAAUUCGAUUGAAGAAGACGUAUUGUGGUUACAAAAUGAAAAGACAAAUUCAGAUCAUGUUGACUAGAAUUAACAUUAUUCUCCAUCAUCUAGGAAAAAGGGUGCUCAUCGCUUCAUAUAGGAACCCUAAAACAACUGAUUACAACCCAAUGGUCGAGGAAGUUAGUUUUAGUUGUCACUUGGAACUCCAUUUCACUAUAGUUACGCAUAACAGAUAUGGGGCACUUUCUGAGUUAAUCGUGACUUUUGCAAUGUAACAAUUGCAUAAAGGGCCGUAGGUACUCAUUAUUAGUUUUUAUUAUACACUUUAAAUCGUUUAUAUACCUACAUCAGCCCGGUGGCAAUGGGUAGUUCAAUCAUCAGAACUUCCAAGAACCUUCACACCCUUAAAAAACCUAAAUGCAUCAGAUGUGGCUACGACACCAUUCCAGGAGGUUGAAGAAACGGGCCUCGAUUGUCACUGUCUCAGUUGCAGAAAAUAACCGUUAUAUGGUUGAACCCGAGCCCAUAUAACAAAGUGCUAGAAGGAGCGUGCAUUGCUCACAAAGAUCGUUCAGAAAUAAAACAAGUCCGAGUAAUCGUGAUAUAUAAGAAAGAAGAUGCAAGACAUGUGGAUAAG
Molecule: long non-coding RNA, 2565 nt
Filed under: Helianthus annuus (common sunflower)
Lineage: Eukaryota; Viridiplantae; Streptophyta; Magnoliopsida; Asterales; Asteraceae
Source: RNAcentral